AUAACAAUACAGGACUCUUUCCAGGCCCUGUAAUUGGAAUGAGUACACUUUAAAUCCUUUAAUGAGGAUCUAUUGGAGGGCAAGUCUGGUGCAGAGCGACUGACCCGUGCGUGCUGCAGCUGAAA
RNAcentral lists this ribosomal RNA (125 nucleotides) under Pelobates cultripes (western spadefoot toad). RNAcentral describes it as "SSU_rRNA_eukarya". Lineage: Eukaryota; Metazoa; Chordata; Amphibia; Anura; Pelobatidae. The record is from RNAcentral.